AUGGAGACCCUUCGGGCGGAGCUUGCCCGAGCCAAGGAGCAAGCAAGGAGUAGCAAUGCGGUCGCUUUAAAGGCGGCCGAAGAGUUAAGGACUGAACAGGCCGCGCAUUGUGAGAGCAAGGAAAAAAUAGCCAAGAUGGCUGUAGAGUUAAAAGAUGCUGCUGACCGUUACCAGCUUCUUGAAGAAGAAAACCAGGCAAAGGCGACGGACCUGGAGAAGGCCCAGGUGGCUGUCAAGGAAGCCCGCUCCAAAAUUAGAGCGACGAGGGAGGAGCUGAAUCAAGCUGCAGAUAUCAUGUCUGGGAAGCCCUUCUUGUUGCGGACUAAGUUCGGAGAUCCGAAGUAUGCUCCUCUGGACCGGCUAUGGAGUUCUGCGGACGCGUACAUGGAUUUGGCUGCAAGUGCUGCUGAUGCGGCCGAGUACUUCAAGGAUCAGAAAGGUCCCGAAGUGGAAAAGCUGUUCUGGUCACAGUUUCAAGUUCCAGUCCGUCCGCUACUGUUGAAUGAGCGAUUGGCCGGGUGGGCCGAGCUCCAUAGGUUGUCCGGACUUGCCAUGAGGUCCGUUGUGGAUCACCUGUGGCCGGGAGGGCCAAGGCCCAAUAGCUACUUCAGCUUACUGCAACAAUUCCUUGGUGUUGUGCCACCCAUCGAUGCUGUAAAGAGAUCGGCGUGCAUAGAAGAUGCGCGGAUGGCCCAUCCCCGUGUCAAGACAUACUAG
Molecule: ribosomal RNA, 717 nt
Filed under: Triticum aestivum (bread wheat)
Lineage: Eukaryota; Viridiplantae; Streptophyta; Magnoliopsida; Poales; Poaceae
Description: partial small subunit ribosomal RNA
Source: RNAcentral